UACGGAGGGAGCUAGCGUUGUUCGGAAUUACUGGGCGUAAAGCGUACGUAGGCGGUUACUCAAGUCAGAGGUGAAAGCCCAAGGCUCAACCUUGGAACUGCCUUUGAUACUGUUUGGCUUGAGACCGGUAGAGGUAAGUGGAACUGCGAGUGUAGAGGUGAAAUCCGUAGAUAUUCGCAAGAACACCAGUGGCGAAGGCGGCUCACUGGCCCGGUACUGACGCUGAGGUGCGAAAGCGUGGGGAGCAAACAGG
This 253-nucleotide ribosomal RNA is filed under the name uncultured bacterium. RNAcentral's name for it is "partial 16S ribosomal RNA". It matches the Rfam family "Bacterial small subunit ribosomal RNA", at positions 524 to 776 of the family's 1533-position model. The record is from RNAcentral.